This is a long non-coding RNA of Artibeus jamaicensis (Jamaican fruit-eating bat), 1403 nucleotides long. RefSeq lists it as uncharacterized. The record is from RefSeq and is a predicted model, not a curated record. The transcript is spliced from 4 exons. Lineage: Eukaryota; Metazoa; Chordata; Mammalia; Chiroptera; Phyllostomidae.
GGAAGUUCUCUGUGCCCAUUGACUGCUGUUUCUGACAGUCGUAUCGGGAAAGUGAAGAGUUGCAACCCCGGAGUUUAAGGACGUGGAGUAUGGCGGCCUGGGUGUCCCCAGGGCCUCUAUCUCGAAUGGUCCUAAUGGAAGCAACUAAAACCUAUUAUGAAAGAAGACAUUCUUCAGUGAUCAAAGAGGAAAUGAAAACAUGAGCCUUAGGAGAAAGGGGCCGCGACCUUACAUCAUCAAGGACGUUUUAAGAUAUGUGUCAAACUAUUACAACCAGAGGGUGGGCAUCCAUACCUUCUCCUGACUCGACCCUUCAGGAAAAAUCGCCCGCUCUUUAUGCCCGUCUGGUUCCACUCCUGCUUGGAGUAGAUGCCUGGUGCCCCUCACAACAGCCCCGACGAGCCACUGCCCUCGGAUCAGAAGGCUCGGGCUUCCUGUUUUCCCUGUAAGGGAGGCGGUGGCCCGAGGAGCAGGCGAUGAGAGUCCACGAGAGUUUUUCAGUAGAUAACACAGCAAUUCAGAAACCAGUGUUGCCGGAAUUGUGAACUUUUAAUCUUUUCAUGCAUGAUGUCAUUUAAUCCAGAUUUUGAAAAGAAGGGGCCGCCGUAUAAAGAAGCAGGCACUGACUGGCCUGAAAUAUCCCAGGAAAAUCUGGUUUCAGAUUUUUCUAGGAGUUGAUCCAAGAACAUUUUUCUUUGUGCCUUUUGAUCUGUUGAAAGAUACGCAAGAUACUUGGAGGCCUUGAAGGCACAGAUGCCAACAUGCAAAGAAACGUAGACAAGCUGCCUCAUCCAGGAAGCCAGCACUCAGAGGAGGGCAGGAACUUGAACUUUUUUGUCUGCCGCCUGACCUCACACCCACCUUGGUAGUUUUUCUGUGAACGGGUUCUGUUUCUUCUGGGUUUGAGCGGGAUUGGUAGAAACUGAGGUAACGUCCUUGCUGCCUGCAGUUUUUAGCUCCUCCUCAUCUUUCUUAACUUCCCCGUCCCUUCUCCACUUCUGAGAGCAAGGGGUUGCAUGCCCCUUUGCCUCCCUUCAAAGAACAUUUGGCUGGAGUGGAGGAGCGGCACUGAGGGUGCUCUUCUUUUUAUAGAGACACUUUUAUAUAAACAUACAAUGGUCGGAGGUCGCUUGGAGGCCGCCGAACCAAGCUGGCAGGAAGUGGGUCCCCGAGAGGCCCCCAACCCCCCCCUGCUAGGGGGCCUGCGCAUGCACAGAAGCACCUUCCAGAGAGCACCUGCAUCCUUCAAGUGUAGCAGAGACCACUUAGAGAGUUUUGUUUUCUCUCCCUGACACUGCGGGAGGUGGGAACGGGGCGAAGCAGAUUCCCUCUACCGGGAGGAUCCCGGAAGAACACAUUUGUGUGUCACGACCUUGACCUACCUGCCUUGGACCCCACUCUUC